GCACUUCUCAGAUAACCUCUCACCUGCAGGAAGUGCAAUUUUCUGAAAUCUGCUGCCAUGGGAUCCUCUCAAUCUCAACAAAGUGCUCACUGAGAGCUGCCCUGACAAAUCUCCCAGGAAAGGCAGUGUGACGUGGAGCAAGGAACACCACGAGAACAGAAGAGCAGUGACUGCCACUGGCUGCAAGGACUCCGGCAUUACUACAGCUCCCAAGUCAGAUACCCUGUGUGCACCAACCUCCAGUUUCCUGCUUUCUCUGGCAGGGGUUUUGAUUCUGAAAUCCUGCCUCCUACAAGUUUCACCAGUGCAUACAGUUAGAUACAGUAAUUCUACUAAAAUUAUGCGGUUGGAAAUGUUUGCAUAGGAACAUUCUUCAUUCAUCAAGCAUGUUUCGAUCUCUUUUGUGCUAGGCACUGAGGACACACUAGUGAGCAAAAUAAACAUUAUCACUUCCUUUG
This is a long non-coding RNA of Homo sapiens (human), 458 nucleotides long. RefSeq lists it as uncharacterized. The record is from RefSeq and is a predicted model, not a curated record. NCBI's taxonomy places the organism in Eukaryota, Metazoa, Chordata, Mammalia, Primates, Hominidae. The transcript has 3 exons.